UAAAUAAUUCUACUUUGAAACUGCGAAUGGCUCAUUAUAUCAGUUAUAGUUUAUUAGAAAAAAUGUACUACUUGGAUAACCGUAGUAAUUCUAGGGCUAAUACAUGAAUGAAUCCUCGACUUUGAAGAGGUGUGUUUAUUAGUAUGAAAACCAUAUGCUUCGGCAUGAUAGUGAGUAAUAAUAACCUUUCGUAUCGUAUGUUGACAUAACGAUAGUUCUUUCAAGUUUCUGCCCUAUCAGCUUUCGAUGGUAGUGUAUUGGACUACCAUGGCAGUAACGGGUAACGAAGAAUUUGGGUUCGAUUUCGGAGAGGGAGCCUGAGAGAUGGCUACCACAUCCAAGGAAGGCAGCAGGCGCGUAAAUUACCCAAUCCUGACAGAGGGAGGUAGUGACAAUAAAUCACAAUGCGGGACUAUUUAGUUUUGCAAUUGGAUUGAGAACAAUGUACAAGAGUUAUCGAUAAACAAUUGGAGGGCAAGUCUGGUGCCAGCAGCCGCGGUAAUUCCAGCUCCAAUAGCGUAUAUUAACGUUGUUGCAGUUAAAAA
Molecule: ribosomal RNA, 545 nt
Filed under: Blastocystis sp.
Lineage: Eukaryota; Bigyra; Opalinata; Blastocystidae
Also listed under: 1 other name
Description: SSU rRNA
Rfam family: Eukaryotic small subunit ribosomal RNA
Source: RNAcentral